AAGGAUUGAUAGAAGAUAUGUCUCAAGGGUUCCUCUAUUAUUAAACAACACAUUUGGAUGGAUUAUCAUGGUGGAAGUGAUUCCCUGGAUGAGUAGAUGGACAUUGGAGUGAUAGACGUCCUACUCGAUGAUGUUCUUGCACUUGGAUUUGCCUUUGUGACCUCAUAUGGAGCUGCUGUAUUUGGAAAAGGGACAGUACUCCAUGUCCUAGAACCAAAUCAACAGGUAAUAGGACCCACUGUCACCAUCUACCGUCCCAAUGAAAGAGAACUUAUUAACAACAAAUUCAUUUCUCUGGUCUGCGUUGCAAGAAAUUUCUUUCCUGAACAUGUAAAAAUCCGAUGGUUUGUGGGUGAUGAAGAAAGGGUGAAUGUCUACGAGCCUGUGCCGAAGAAAGCCAAUAACGGUUUAUAUUCAACCAGCAAGCGUCUCACUUUGACCAGUUCGGAAUAUUUCAAUCCCAAUUCCACAUUUCGAUGUGAGGCUGCGUUUCUGGAUGGAACAAAUAAAACUUCUGCAGAAGUUAAAGGAGAAACAGAUUACAGUGUCUCUAAAGAGUCCUAUGCCAUGCAGAUUAACAAAGGAAAGAUUUCCUACAUUGUGGUUCUCUGCAAAAGCGUCUUUUAUGCAGUGAUCGUCCUUGUCUUGUUGUGGAGGAAAAAGGUCAUUACGAGUUCUUACUAAUGGAUGACGGAUGUUAUUAAUGCUUCAGAGUUCUAUAGACCGUAUACCUCUGCUUCAUGGAUAACUGCAUAUAGUCGUAUUACGGAGCGGAGAGAACUGAAUAAAAGCUGAUGUGUUUGAUCCUGUUACGUAGUAGCUGAGAUUGUUCCUGUGUCUGUGUAUUGUGCUGUUAUAUAUGUGUGUAUAUGUACUUACAUUCUAAUAAAUGAUAACUUUAU
Molecule: non-coding RNA, 902 nt
Organism: Hyla sarda
Lineage: Eukaryota; Metazoa; Chordata; Amphibia; Anura; Hylidae
Source: the annotation of a RefSeq genome assembly